GCUCCUUUAGCUUAGUGGUAGAGCAUCACACUUGUAAUGUGAAGGCCGCGCGUUCAAUUCGCGCAGGGAGCU
This 72-nucleotide transfer RNA is filed under the name bacterium. Its description in RNAcentral is "tRNA-Thr". It matches the Rfam family "tRNA". Rfam says of the family: Transfer RNA (tRNA) molecules are approximately 80 nucleotides in length. Their secondary structure includes four short double-helical elements and three loops (D, anti-codon, and T loops). Further hydrogen bonds mediate the characteristic L-shaped molecular structure. tRNAs have two regions of fundamental functional importance: the anti-codon, which is responsible for specific mRNA codon recognition, and the 3' end, to which the tRNAs corresponding amino acid is attached (by aminoacyl-tRNA synthetases). tRNAs cope with the degeneracy of the genetic code in two manners: having more than one tRNA (with a specific anti-codon) for a particular amino acid; and 'wobble' base-pairing, i.e. permitting non-standard base-pairing at the 3rd anti-codon position. The record is from RNAcentral.